GGGGGUGUAGCUCAUCUGGGAGAGCGCCUCGUUCGCAACGAGGAGGUAGCGAGUUCGAGCCUCGUCAUCUCCACCA
This 76-nucleotide transfer RNA is filed under the name bacterium. Its description in RNAcentral is "tRNA-Ala". It matches the Rfam family "tRNA". From Rfam's summary of the family: Transfer RNA (tRNA) molecules are approximately 80 nucleotides in length. RNAcentral also lists the same sequence under 1 other name. The record is from RNAcentral.